RNAcentral lists this ribosomal RNA (253 nucleotides) under uncultured bacterium. RNAcentral describes it as "partial 16S ribosomal RNA". It matches the Rfam family "Bacterial small subunit ribosomal RNA", at positions 524 to 776 of the family's 1533-position model. The record is from RNAcentral.
UACAGAGGUGGCAAGCGUUGUUCGGAAUUACUGGGCGUAAAGGGCGCGUAGGCGGUCUUGUAAGUCUUGUGUGAAAUCCCUCGGCUCAACUGAGGAACUGCACGGGAUACUGCGAGACUUGAGUUCGGGAGAGGGAAGCGGAAUUCCGGGUGUAGCGGUGAAAUGCGUAGAUAUCCGGAGGAACACCGGUGGCGAAGGCGGCAUCCUGGACCGAGAUUGACGCUGAGGCGCGAAAGCUAGGGGAGCAAACGGG